GUUUACAUUUAUCUCAAAAUACCUCACAUCCUAUACAUCAUCUACUCUCAAUACAUGUAUAGGGUAACUCUAAUGCAAAAUAGGAAAGUAAACUAUCAACUAGCACUAGGGCGCUAAGCCCAUAACGCGAUCCUCUGCCGAUCCGCUCUCGUGUGUACCUGUACCCCAAAACCACACGGGGUGAGAACUAUAUAAAUAUAGUUCCCAGUGGGUUCGGCCGCCGACUCCGCCGAUCUUCCCACUAGGUCCAAGCUGGCACAGAUAGAUAGAUAGAAAGAUAUAUGGAAAUACUACUACUAUAUCUACUAUGCCAUCAAAUGCAAAGUAUGCAUGGAACAUCAUCUAGCAAUAACCUACCAUCAUGCUAGUAUGCCUCAACAGUGAAAUAAAUACAACAACAACAUAGUUAUGCAAUGCACUAUGUCUAAUCAAGGUAUGAAUGCAAUACUCUUAUGCUAUUCAUGUUGUUACCCAAUCCGCUAGGCUAACUUGCCUAAGAUCUCAAAUCUAGUAGGUGAAGAGCUACCUCACUCUUGUCUCACUCGACUCAUAUCUCAAGGGUCUGACCCAAUCUCGUGAGUCCCAGGCAAAGAGCUACCCCGCCCCUCGCCCGACUCACAUCUCAAGGUCCUAGGCAAAGGCUACCCCGCACUUUGCACGACUCACAUCUCAAAGAACUGGCUCACAUCUCAAAGAACUAGGCAAAGGCUACCCCGCAUUUUGCCCGACUCACAUCUCGACCUACUAGGUACAGGGCUACUCCACUCAAAUCUCAUAGGUGAACAACAGCAACAACUAUGGAAGCAAGCUAUCAUGAACAACAACAAUGAGUAUGACUCAAUAGGUACUCAAAUCUCAUAGGUGAAGGAAUAGUAUAUCAUGAAGGCAUGAGCAAUAAGUAAGCUACUAUGAACACUAGUAAGCUACUAUGAACAACAACAACAACUAUAGAAGCAAGCUAUCAUGAACAACAAUAAUGAGUAUGACCCAAUAGGUAACCCAAUCUCCAAGUGAACACGAGGUUCACAAGCAAGGCUCACAUAUCAAUCUCCGAGGGAUGCCUAGCUGGACGAUCCCCGAGUACGCCUGCGGAUAACAAGCGGCUAUCCGAGCAGCAAGCACGGCUGCCUCUCUAGUGACCAAACUCCGGAGCGCACAACUUGAGGGGAGCGACCCCACCAAGCGCAGACAGGCAAUGUGAGCGUGAUCAUCUCACGAGCAACAGCAACCUACCCUCUAAGGGUAAUCUCAUCAUGGAAUCAAGGUGUUCUUGUACCCAAUCUCAUAGUGUUUCAACUACACUAAGGUUCUCAUGUCAAGGUUAUCAACAAUCAUAUGCCACUCAUCAUAGUUUUCUAAACUAGAUGCCACUCGACAUUUAGACUCAUUUCAACACUAGUUACAUCAUACUAGUUCUUUAGCAACAUAAGUAUUAAUCACCUCACAUAGGGUCUAGGUCUUUAUCAUAAAGUUUUCAUCAUAUAAUCAUCAUGCAUACUAGAUCAUGGAUCAAUCAUAAAGAUGUAUAGCUACUAGCAUGCAAAUAUGAGCAAUGACUACAAUCAUUUAGCAUCUAAAUGCAAUAAAUACAAUAUGCAACUUAAUCGAUUAAUGCACUCAACAAAGUUUAAUCCACAUUAAUCAUGCCCUUAUAGGGUUUCACCACACUAAGUCUCAAUCUCAUGCAUACUAGGUACAAGUAUUAAUCAAGUAACACUUCACUCCCACUAGCAUGCCAUGACAUGUAACAAUUGCCAACUAGUACCCUAUAAUGCAAUAUCCCAAUAUGCAACUUGAUCAACGUUAACUAGAGUUUCUAGUACAACAACCAAUCCAUUACUAGUUCAAGUCAUAUGUAUUUUUAGCACAAUAAGUUCAAUGCCACUUGUAAACUAUGUCUUUAAACACAACGCUAGGUUCUUCUCUCAUUUAGCAUCAUAGGUUUACCAAUGUCAUCUCAUAAUCCUUAUGUCCAUUACAUCAUAUAUCCAUAUCAUAAUACUAUAUUGAUCAUAAACAUCAUAUAAGGAUUAGGAAUGCAUGUAUUGUCAUCCUAUAAUGCAUAGCAACAUACAAUAUGCUACAUGUGAACGGAUAAGCACUAAGACAUAGGAAGAAGCCCGAUGACUUCGGGAUGGCACUCCCCCACCUUUUAUCGCGUUCCGAUUGCUUGUCGUCACUUGCAAUCGGCCUCCCGCGGCGCACGCCGCUCGGCUUGACCCAAUCCGUGCGCGACCACCAAACGACCUCCGAUCCGCGAUCCGAAAAUUAAAGGUCUUCGGUUUCUUGUUACGAUGCUUCAAAUCCGUUUUCAGGAUUUUACGACGUCGCCUCGGCCCUCCAGGCGGAAACGAAGCCUAAACGUCCGUUUCUUUAAUAACUUUGCACCGGCUCGACGAAUCGCCGAACCGUCGCUUCCAACGCGUUCGUAGACCUAGCAAUUAGGUAAACAGAGGGUUAAAAGAGAUCAAACCCUCAUAUUUUGAAAGUUAGCAUUUUGAGCCCUAGGUUUACAACUAUGCAAGAAAUCAUUAAAUUGCUCUAUGAUUCAAGCAUUAACCAUCUAUUAGGCAUCAAUGGGUUCCACUAAAACCAUUUCCAAAGCAUUUAGACCUAUCUUUAGAGAUCUACCAUUAAAGCCCUCAUUUUGGAGCUCUUGGUUUCAAUAGGUAAAAAUCCACCAUUAGAACUUAGGAUCUAAGCAUAAAUCAUCUUCUUAGCAUCUAGGAAAGCUACUAAUUCGUUUCUAGAGCUUAAAACCCAAGCAAUAGAGAAAUGCCAUUAAAGCUCUUAAAGCUUACCUUCAAAGCAUGCUCCAAUGGAGAGGAAGAAGAUGAAGUUGAUGAAGAUCAACUUCCAAGCUUACUUCUCCACCAAAUCCAUCCAUUUUGGAAGAGAUUUAGAGAGAGAAAGGGAGUUUUAGAGAGAGAGAGGGAGAGUUUCUCUCUCCUUCAUUCCAUGCGUGUGUGCGUGUGAUGCUUGGGUGUGCACGGUUGAGGGGAGAAGAAGCUGUUGCUUCUCUUAUAAUUAACACCCCUCAAAACACUAUUCAUCCCGGGCAGCUUGAAAUCUGAUAUCUUUCGCCGAAGCUCCCUGAAUGUCCGUUUGAGCUUAAACUUGACAGUCAUGUUCGGUUUUACUUAACUUAACAAGCUGACGAUCACUGGCUCAGUUUUGACCCCGUUUGGUCACUGAAAACUGUACCGAACUGCAAUCUUUACAGAUAGCUUUCGGAUUUUAUUUCUCACUCUACAGGUGUCAGAAAAAUAUGAAACCUUAAAUCUAGCCUCAUAAAAAUAUUUCUGACUUAUCCUCUAAUUUUCAUAAUUUUCUGAGACUGUGCAUUUUCUGUUAAUUUAUCUGCCCCGUCUCCAACAGAAAAUUCUAAAUCUUCUGUUUUAAUUCCGAUUUCAGCACAGGUCAUUCCCAACUCAUAUUUCACUUCUCUAAAUUCAAUAAAAAUAGUAUCUCAUACUAUUUUUAUUUAUUUCUAUUUUUAUAUUUAAAUCCGGUAUAUUACAUUACACCGCAACCUUACCGGAACCAUUCAAAUGGCUCUCCAACCAAAUGGACACCGUAACCUCAUGAUUUUAGAAGUCCGGUACCUUACAUUAAUUA
RNAcentral lists this long non-coding RNA (3618 nucleotides) under Ananas comosus (pineapple). Its description in RNAcentral is "long non-coding RNA (ACOM_LNC038123)". The record is from RNAcentral. Lineage: Eukaryota; Viridiplantae; Streptophyta; Magnoliopsida; Poales; Bromeliaceae.